AGAGACUAAAGCUAAACCAAGAUGGCGGGGAUGAUGUUGAAGAUGAUGAACCCGAUGGGAUCAAUGCCGUCUGUACCCGGAGUAGGGGAUGACAAGAAGGAUGAUGACGGGAUGACGAGAGAGGAACAGCAGGAACAGGAAAGGAUGAG
Eurytemora carolleeae is the source of this 149-nucleotide long non-coding RNA. RefSeq lists it as uncharacterized. NCBI's taxonomy places the organism in Eukaryota, Metazoa, Arthropoda, Copepoda, Calanoida, Temoridae. The transcript is spliced from 2 exons. The record is from RefSeq and is a predicted model, not a curated record.